AUGUCGAUCAAGCACUGCGACAAGCACGACUGCGAGCGGCGGCGGCUGUACCGCCAGUUCUGCGCCGCCCUGGUGGCCGUCAUCCUCCUCAUCCUGCUCAUCAUCCUCAUCGUCUGGCUCGUGCUCCGCCCCACCAGGCCGCGCUUCUACCUCAACGGCCUCACCGUGGCGUGCCUCAACGCCACCUCCUCCCCGGCGUCCUACCUCACCGUGACGCUGCAGGCGACGAUCGCCGCCCGCAACCCCAACUCCCGCGUCGGCAUCUACUUCGACCGGACGGACGCGUACGCCGAGUACAAGGGGCAGCAGGUGACCGUCCCGACGGCGCUCCCCGUGGUGUACCAGGGCCACCUGGACGUCUCGGUGUGGUCGCCGUUCCUGGUGGGGUCGAACGUGCCGCUGGCCCCGUACCUGGCUGUGGCGCUGGCGCAGGACGAGACGGCUGGGUACGUGCUGCUCACGGUGCGGGUGGACGGCUGGAUCAGGUGGAAGGCCGGGGCGUUCAUUACGGGGCACUACCACCUCCGGGUCAGGUGUCCCGCCCUGCUCACCGUCAACGGAGGGCAGGGCAGCUACGGCUCCAUCGCCGGCGGCGGCGGGAACGGGUACUUCAACUUCCAGCGCGCCGCGCCAUGCGUUGUCGACGUCUGA
RNAcentral lists this ribosomal RNA (651 nucleotides) under Triticum aestivum (bread wheat). RNAcentral describes it as "partial small subunit ribosomal RNA". The record is from RNAcentral. Lineage: Eukaryota; Viridiplantae; Streptophyta; Magnoliopsida; Poales; Poaceae.